CCUCUCAAAUACCAACCACGUCAGUUGCCAGCUCGCCUCAAAGAUUUUAACAUUGUAGGCAAGCCAAAUAUGAUAAGCAAUAUAUGCUGCCCUAAUGCCAACAAGUCUAGUAGCCUCGGAUUCCAUGCUUUGUCUCAGGGCUUCCAAAGAGGAUUGGAUAGACCACCCUCUCAAAAUAGUCAGGAUAGAGGGGUAACCAAACACCGCACUCGC
This 213-nucleotide long non-coding RNA is filed under the name Elaeis guineensis (African oil palm). RNAcentral's name for it is "long non-coding RNA (EGUI_LNC006204)". Lineage: Eukaryota; Viridiplantae; Streptophyta; Magnoliopsida; Arecales; Arecaceae. The record is from RNAcentral.